Molecule: ribosomal RNA, 305 nt
Filed under: uncultured bacterium
Lineage: Bacteria
Description: bacterial SSU rRNA
Rfam family: Bacterial small subunit ribosomal RNA
Source: RNAcentral
UUUUCCUACGGGAGGCAGCAGUCGGGAAUAUUGCGCAAUGGAGGAAACUCUGACGCAGUGACGCCGCGUAUAGGAAGAAGGUUUUCGGAUUGUAAACUAUUGUCGUUAGGGAAGAAAAAAGACAGUACCUAAGGAGGAAGCUCCGGCUAACUCCGUGCCAGCAGCCGCGGUAAUACGGAGGAUCCAAGCGUUAUCCGGAUUUAUUGGGUUUAAAGGGUGCGUAGGCGGAUUGAUAAGUUAGAGGUGAAAUGUCCGAGCUCAACUCGGGAACUGCCUCUAAUACUGUUGAUCUAGAGAGUAGAUGC